GACGAACGCUGGCGGCGCGCUUAACACAUGCAAGUCGAGCGAUGAAACUUUAACAGAACCCUUCGGGCGAAGAUAAAGUGGAUUAGCGGCGGACGGGUGAGUAACACGUGAGUAACCUGCCUUAAACAUUGGGAUAGCCUCGGGAAACCGGGAUUAAUACCAAAUAAAAUCAUAAUGACACAUGUCAUAAAGAUCAAAACUCCGGUGGUCUAAGAUGGACUUGCGUCCCAUUAGCUAGUUGGUAGAGUAAAAGCCUACCAAGGCGACGAUGGGUAGCCGGCCUGAGAGGGUGAACGGCCACAUUGGAACUGAGAAACGGUCCAAACUCCUACGGGAGGCAGCAGUGGGGAAUAUUGCACAAUGGAGGGAACUCUGAUGCAGCGACGCCGCGUGAACGAAGAAGGCUUUCGAGUCGUAAAGUUCUUUUAUAUGGGAAGAUAAUGACGGUACCAUAAGAAAAAGCCCCGGCUAACUACGUG
RNAcentral lists this ribosomal RNA (479 nucleotides) under uncultured bacterium. Its description in RNAcentral is "partial 16S ribosomal RNA". It matches the Rfam family "Bacterial small subunit ribosomal RNA", at positions 28 to 507 of the family's 1533-position model. The record is from RNAcentral.